Molecule: non-coding RNA, 56 nt
Filed under: Deltaproteobacteria bacterium
Lineage: Bacteria; Pseudomonadati; Myxococcota; Myxococcia
Description: Li+-I sequence
Rfam family: nhaA-I RNA
About the family: Acidobacteria, Alphaproteobacteria, Betaproteobacteria and Gammaproteobacteria, Verrucomicrobia, cand. division NC10.
Source: RNAcentral
GGGUGUGAGGGGAGGGUCCCCGCGCAGGUUGAAGGGGAAUGGUCGGGCCGCCAUUC